This 69-nucleotide transfer RNA is filed under the name Phymorhynchus sp. LD-2020. RNAcentral describes it as "tRNA-Asp". Lineage: Eukaryota; Metazoa; Mollusca; Gastropoda; Neogastropoda; Raphitomidae. The record is from RNAcentral.
AGAGAAAUUAGUUUAUAAGAAUAUAAAGUUGUCAAUUUUAAGGUGCUAGAACAUUCUAGUGUUUCUCUA